UACGUAGGGUGCGAGCGUUAAUCGGAAUUACUGGGCGUAAAGUGUGCGCAGGCGGCCGCGCAAGUCAGGUGUGAAAUCCCCGGGCUUAACCUGGGAAUUGCGCUUGAAACUAGCGGGCUUGAGUGUGGCAGAGGGGGGUGGAAUUCCACGUGUAGCAGUGAAAUGCGUAGAGAUGUGGAGGAACACCGAUGGCGAAGGCAGCCCCCUGGGUCAACACUGACGCUCAUGCACGAAAGCGUGGGGAGCAAACAGG
RNAcentral lists this ribosomal RNA (253 nucleotides) under uncultured bacterium. Its description in RNAcentral is "partial 16S ribosomal RNA". It matches the Rfam family "Bacterial small subunit ribosomal RNA", at positions 524 to 776 of the family's 1533-position model. The record is from RNAcentral.